This 220-nucleotide unclassified non-coding RNA is filed under the name Hevea brasiliensis (rubber tree). The record is from RNAcentral. Lineage: Eukaryota; Viridiplantae; Streptophyta; Magnoliopsida; Malpighiales; Euphorbiaceae.
GGGGCAUACACCCCUCCAAUCCAAUUGGGGCAUACACCCCUCCAAUGAGUCCGAGGACUCUCCAAUCUUCAUCUUCUAGGGGCUUCUGAUCAUAUGGCCGCCCGGUGGUGUGCCAUGCACACCACCGGGAGGCACCAAGGCACACAAGGUCGGUCUUCUACGGAGGAGGAGCGGUUUCUCUCUUCUUUCUUGGAUCUUUGAUUGGAAUCUUCAAUUCGGA